RNAcentral lists this ribosomal RNA (403 nucleotides) under uncultured bacterium. RNAcentral describes it as "partial 16S ribosomal RNA". It matches the Rfam family "Bacterial small subunit ribosomal RNA", at positions 30 to 526 of the family's 1533-position model. The record is from RNAcentral.
AUUGAACGCUGGCGGCAGGCCUAACACAUGCAAGUCGAGCGAGCGGCGGGCGGGUGAGUAAUGUAUGGGGACUGCCCGAUAGAGGGGGAUAACUACUGGAACCGGUAGCUAAUACCGCAUACUAUCGGAUAACCCAUAUGGGAUUAGCUGGUGGGUGAGGUAAUGGCUCACCCAGGCGACGAUCCCUAGCUGGUCUGAGAGGAUGAUCAGCCACACUGGGACUGAUACACGGCCCAGACUCCUACGGAGGCAGCAGUGGGGAAUAUUGCACAAUGGGCGCAAGCCUGAGACAGCCAUGCCGCGUGUAUGAAGAAGGCCCUAGGGUUGUAAAGUACUUUCAGUCGGGAGGCGUUACCGACAGAAGAAGCACCGGCUAACUCCGUGCCAGCAGCCGCGGUAAUUC